Molecule: transfer RNA, 83 nt
Filed under: Candidatus Bathyarchaeota archaeon ex4484_135
Lineage: Archaea; Thermoproteati; Candidatus Bathyarchaeota
Description: tRNA-Leu
Source: RNAcentral
CCUGAGGGCCCCGGGCCAGAGGAGGUGGGCUUAGGACCCACUGGCGUAGGCCUGCGUGGGUUCAAAUCCCACCCCCCGCACCA